UAUUUAUUCUUUCGUAUUUUACAUACAUUAAAAAAUAGCAAAAUCCACAAAAUAAUGUAAAAAAGAUAGUUUUUAAAGCUUUCUCUGUAUAUUUGAAGCGUGCAACAUAUUAUACAUUAUAAUCACAUGGCAACACUGCCAAACUUCAAAUCAACGUUCUAUGAAAAUCUAAUGUGGCUAACUUCUCGGACCAUCCAAUUUAAUGAAGUCCCGAUUUUUGAAGAUGUUAACAUUUUAAUCUUAUAGGAAAACCAGCCGACUUAAUCGAUAAUAACAAUCUCCAGAUUGGGUUCCUUCAAUAAAUAUGGGCUAUAACACUAUGAAAACACAAUGAAAUAAGUUCCCCAAAAUCUAAAAUGGAGUGGUAUCAAAGGAGAAUUAAAGGAAAAAAUAUUCAUAUUGAAAUUAUUUAUAAGGCACUGGACUGUCUUAAAUUCUACAAUAAUACUAGAAUCAGCUGAGAGAAGUGGUCUACAAAAAACCAGGAAGGAAACGGAAUAUGUGGCUACGAAAGGCAAAAGAAAGGUUUACAAAGCAAAUGUGACACAUUUUUUUGAAAUAUUUAGGAAUAUCAGUAAAUUGCAUUAAAAGAAUGUAUGAAAAGAUUUUGUUCAAUAAAAAUGUUUAUAUUUA
Molecule: long non-coding RNA, 633 nt
Organism: Diabrotica virgifera virgifera (western corn rootworm)
Lineage: Eukaryota; Metazoa; Arthropoda; Insecta; Coleoptera; Chrysomelidae
Exons: 2
Source: RefSeq, a predicted model, not a curated record